CCUACGGGUGGCAGCAGUGAGGAAUAUUGGUCAAUGGACGCGAGUCUGAACCAGCCAAGUAGCGUGAGGGAUGACUGCCCUAUGGUUUGUAAACCUCUUUUAUAAGGGAAUAAAAUGAGGGACGCGUCCCGUUUCGCAUGUACUUUAUGAAUAAGGAUCGGCUAACUCCGUGCCAGCAGCCGCGGUAAUACGGAGGAUCCGAGCGUUAUCCGGAUUUAUUGGGUUUAAAGGGUGCGUAGAUGGCUUUUUAAGUCAGCUGUGAAAGUUUGUGGCUCAACCGUAGAAUUGCCAUUGAUACUGGGAGGCUUGAGUAUAGUUGAGGCAGGCGGAAUGCGUGGUGUAGCGGUGAAAUGCAUAGAUAUCACGAAGAACCCCGAUUGCGAAGGCAGCUUACCAAGCUGUGACUGACAUUGAUGCACGAAAGCGUGGGGAUCGAACAGGAUUAGAUACCCUAGUAGUC
This 460-nucleotide ribosomal RNA is filed under the name uncultured bacterium. RNAcentral's name for it is "partial 16S ribosomal RNA". It matches the Rfam family "Bacterial small subunit ribosomal RNA", at positions 338 to 795 of the family's 1533-position model. The record is from RNAcentral.